RNAcentral lists this ribosomal RNA (510 nucleotides) under uncultured Glomus. RNAcentral's name for it is "SSU rRNA". It matches the Rfam family "Eukaryotic small subunit ribosomal RNA", at positions 569 to 1081 of the family's 1831-position model. The record is from RNAcentral. Lineage: Eukaryota; Fungi; Glomeromycota; Glomeromycetes; Glomerales; Glomeraceae.
AGCAGCCGCGGUAAUUCCAGCUCCAAUAGCGUAUAUUAAAGUUGUUGCAGUUAAAAAGCUCGUAGUUGAAUUUCGGGGUCAGUAGGUUGGUCAUGCCACUGGUAUGUACUGGUCUCACUGAUUCCUCCUUCCUGAUGAACUGUAAUGCCAUUAAUUUGGUGUUGCAGGGAAUCUGGACUGUUACUUUGAAAAAAUUAGAGUGUUUAAAGCAGGCUAACGCCUGAAUACAUUAGCAUGGAAUAAUGAAAUAGGACGUUCGAUCCUAUUUUGUUGGUUUCUAGGAUUGACGUAAUGAUUAAUAGGGAUAGUUGGGGGCAUUAGUAUUCAAUUGUCAGAGGUGAAAUUCUUGGAUUUAUUGAAGACUAACUACUGCGAAAGCAUUUGCCAAGGAUGUUUUCAUUAAUCAAGAACGAAAGUUAGGGGAUCGAAGACGAUCAGAUACCGUCGUAGUCUUAACCAUAAACUAUGCCGACUAGGGAUCGGAUGAUGUUAAUUUUUAAUGACUCAUUC